Non-coding RNA from Erinaceus europaeus (western European hedgehog), 60 nucleotides. The record is from Rfam. NCBI's taxonomy places the organism in Eukaryota, Metazoa, Chordata, Mammalia, Eulipotyphla, Erinaceidae.
GGGAAACGAGCAGGGGGCUGGGGCAGUGAGCCAACCCAAGCCCUAGGAAGCAGAGGCUCG